This 484-nucleotide ribosomal RNA is filed under the name uncultured bacterium. RNAcentral's name for it is "partial 16S ribosomal RNA". It matches the Rfam family "Bacterial small subunit ribosomal RNA", at positions 30 to 507 of the family's 1533-position model. The record is from RNAcentral.
AUUGAACGCUGGCGGCAGGCCUAACACAUGCAAGUCGAACGGCUGCAGGGUAAGUGCUUGUGGUUACGGCGGGCGACGGGCGAAUGGUGCCUAGAAACAUGCGAGGCUGCGGGUGAUAAGGUGAGAACGCGGGCACUCAUACGGCAUUACCCCAGACGGCGUACGUGGGAAAUCUUCGGAUCUCCCGCUCUCACAUGAGCCGAGGUCGGAUUAGCUAGUUGGUGGGGUAAAGGCCUACCAAGGCGACGAUCCGUAGCUGGUCUGAGAGGAUGAUCAGCCACACUGGAACUGAGACACGGUCCAGACUCCUACGGGAGGCAGCAGUGGGGAAUAUUGGACAAUGGGCGAAAGCCUGAUCCAGCCAUGCCGCGUGUGUGAAGAAGGUCUUCGGGUUGUAAAGCACUUUAGGUGGGAAGGAAGAGCAGCAAGUUAAUACCUCGCUGUUCUGACGGUACCAACAGAAUAAGCACCGGCUAACUUCGUG